RNAcentral lists this ribosomal RNA (2107 nucleotides) under Serratia marcescens. RNAcentral describes it as "partial 23S ribosomal RNA". It matches the Rfam family "Bacterial large subunit ribosomal RNA", at positions 718 to 2802 of the family's 2925-position model. The record is from RNAcentral. Lineage: Bacteria; Pseudomonadati; Pseudomonadota; Gammaproteobacteria; Enterobacterales; Yersiniaceae.
AAACCCGGUGAUCUAGCCAUGGGCAGGUUGAAGGUUGGGUAACACUAACUGGAGGACCGAACCGACUAAUGUUGAAAAAUUAGCGGAUGACUUGUGGCUGGGGGUGAAAGGCCAAUCAAACCGGGAGAUAGCUGGUUCUCCCCGAAAGCUAUUUAGGUAGCGCCUCGUGAACUCAUCUUCGGGGGUAGAGCACUGUUUCGGCUAGGGGGCCAUCCCGGCUUACCAAACCGAUGCAAACUCCGAAUACCGAAGAAUGUUAUCACGGGAGACACACGGCGGGUGCUAACGUCCGUCGUGAAGAGGGAAACAACCCAGACCGCCAGCUAAGGUCCCAAAGUCAUGGUUAAGUGGGAAACGAUGUGGGAAGGCAUAGACAGCCAGGAUGUUGGCUUAGAAGCAGCCAUCAUUUAAAGAAAGCGUAAUAGCUCACUGGUCGAGUCGGCCUGCGCGGAAGAUGUAACGGGGCUAAACCAUGCACCGAAGCUGCGGCAGCGACGCUUAGGCGUUGUUGGGUAGGGGAGCGUUCUGUAAGCCGUUGAAGGUGGCCUGUGAGGGUUGCUGGAGGUAUCAGAAGUGCGAAUGCUGACAUAAGUAACGAUAAAGCGGGUGAAAAGCCCGCUCGCCGGAAGACCAAGGGUUCCUGUCCAACGUUAAUCGGGGCAGGGUGAGUCGACCCCUAAGGCGAGGCUGAAAAGCGUAGUCGAUGGGAAACAGGUUAAUAUUCCUGUACUUGGUGUUACUGCGAAGGGGGGACGGAGAAGGCUAGGCUGGCCGGGCGACGGUUGUCCCGGUUUAAGCGUGUAGGGGGUGUGACCUGGUAAAUCCGGUUGCAUACUAACCCUGAGGCGUGAUGACGAUGCACUACGGUGCAGAAGUAGUUGAUGCCCUGCUUCCAGGAAAAUCCUCUAAGCUCCAGGUAACAUUAAAUCGUACCCCAAACCGACACAGGUGGUCAGGUAGAGAAUACCAAGGCGCUUGAGAGAACUCGGGUGAAGGAACUAGGCAAAAUGGUGCCGUAACUUCGGGAGAAGGCACGCUGGCAUGUAGGUGAAGUCCCUUGCGGAUGGAGCUGAAGCCAGUCGAAGAUACCAGCUGGCUGCAACUGUUUAAUAAAAACACAGCACUGUGCAAACACGAAAGUGGACGUAUACGGUGUGACGCCUGCCCGGUGCUGGAAGGUUAAUUGAUGGGGUCAGCCGCAAGGCGAAGCUCUUGAUCGAAGCCCCAGUAAACGGCGGCCGUAACUAUAACGGUCCUAAGGUAGCGAAAUUCCUUGUCGGGUAAGUUCCGACCUGCACGAAUGGCGUAAUGAUGGCCAGGCUGUCUCCACCCGAGACUCAGUGAAAUUGAACUCGCUGUGAAGAUGCAGUGUACCCGCGGCAAGACGGAAAGACCCCGUGAACCUUUACUAUAGCUUGACACUGAACAUUGAGCCUUGAUGUGUAGGAUAGGUGGGAGGCUUUGAAGCGUGGACGCCAGUCUGCGUGGAGCCAUCCUUGAAAUACCACCCUUUAAUGUUUGAUGUUCUAACUCGGCCCCGUGAUCCGGGGUGAGGACAGUGUCUGGUGGGUAGUUUGACUGGGGCGGUCUCCUCCCAAAGAGUAACGGAGGAGCACGAAGGUUAGCUAAUCACGGUCGGACAUCGUGAGGUUAGUGCAAAGGCAUAAGCUAGCUUGACUGCGAGAGUGACGGCUCGAGCAGGUACGAAAGUAGGUCUUAGUGAUCCGGUGGUUCUGAAUGGAAGGGCCAUCGCUCAACGGAUAAAAGGUACUCCGGGGAUAACAGGCUGAUACCGCCCAAGAGUUCAUAUCGACGGCGGUGUUUGGCACCUCGAUGUCGGCUCAUCACAUCCUGGGGCUGAAGUAGGUCCCAAGGGUAUGGCUGUUCGCCAUUUAAAGUGGUACGCGAGCUGGGUUUAGAACGUCGUGAGACAGUUCGGUCCCUAUCUGCCGUGGGCGUUGGAAGAUUGAGAGGGGUUGCUCCUAGUACGAGAGGACCGGAGUGAACGCACCACUGGUGUUCGGGUUGUCAUGCCAAUGGCAUUGCCCGGUAGCUAAGUGCGGAAAAGAUAAGCGCUGAAAGCAUCUAAGCGCGAAACUUGCCUCAA